GCCGGAGGCCAUUGCUAUCAGGGUUUGACUAAGCCAUGCGAGUCGAGAGGUGUAAGACCUCGGCAUACUGCUCAGUAACACGUGGUUAACCUGCCCUAAGGUGGAGAAUACUCCCGGGAAACUGGGGCUAAUGCUCCAUAGUGGAUAUGUCCUGGAAUGGUAUAUCCUCGAAAGAUCCGUCGCCUUAGGAUGGGACUGCGUCCGAUUAGGUUGUUGGCGGGGUAACGGCCCACCAAGCCUUUUAUCGGUACGGGUUGUGGGAGCAAGAUCCCGGAGAUGGAUUCUGAGACAUGAAUCCAGGCCCUACGGGGCGCAGCAGGCGCGCAAACUUUACAAUGCGAGCAAUCGUGAUAAGGAAACCCUGAGUGCCUGUCGAUGCAGGCUGUUCAUAUAUCUAAAUCAUAUGUGAAGAAAGGGCAGGGCAAGACCGGUGCCAGCCGCCGCGGUAAUACCGGCUGCUCGAGUGAUGGCCACUAUUACUGGGUUUAAAGCGUCCGUAGCUUGACUGUUAGGUCUCUUGGGAAAUCUUCGCGCUCAACGUGAAGGCGUCUAAGAGAUACCGGCAGUCUUGGAACUGGGAGAGGUAAACCGUACUUCGGGGGUAGGAGUGAAAUCUUGUAAUCCUCGAGGGA
This 632-nucleotide ribosomal RNA is filed under the name uncultured Methanocorpusculum sp. RNAcentral describes it as "bacterial SSU rRNA". It matches the Rfam family "Archaeal small subunit ribosomal RNA", at positions 16 to 656 of the family's 1478-position model. The record is from RNAcentral. Lineage: Archaea; Methanobacteriati; Methanobacteriota; Methanomicrobia; Methanomicrobiales; Methanocorpusculaceae.